GAUGAAGAACGCAGCGAAAUGCGAUAAGUAAUGUGAAUUGCAGAAUUCAGUGAAUCAUCGAAUCUUUGAACGCACAUUGCGCCCGCCAGUAUUCUGGCGGGCAUGCCUGUUCGAGCGUCAUUUCAACCCUCAAGACCCCUUCGGGGGACUUGGUGUUGGGGACCGGCACAGGGGCCUGCCUGCUUGUCUUGCAGCGCCCUCGCCGCCCCCGAAAUGAAUUGGCGGCCUCGUCGCGGCCUCCCCUGCGUAGUAGCACAAACCUCGCAACGGGAACGUGACGGCGGCCACUGCCGUAAAACAACCCAAUUUUAUUAGAGUUGACCUCGAAUCAGGUAGGAAUACCCGCUGAACUUAAGCAUAUCAAUAAGCCGGAGGA
RNAcentral lists this unclassified non-coding RNA (376 nucleotides) under soil metagenome. RNAcentral's name for it is "partial contains 5.8S ribosomal RNA, internal transcribed spacer 2, and large subunit ribosomal RNA". The stretch from base 1 to 120 matches the Rfam family "5.8S ribosomal RNA", at positions 35 to 154 of the family's 154-position model. The record is from RNAcentral.